Acanthosepion pharaonis is the source of this 114-nucleotide non-coding RNA. NCBI's taxonomy places the organism in Eukaryota, Metazoa, Mollusca, Cephalopoda, Sepiida, Sepiidae. The record is from the annotation of a GenBank genome assembly.
UUACGGCCACAUCUCAUUCAAAUACCGGUUCUCAGACGAUCCCCGAAGUUAAGCAAGGUUGUGUCUGGUUAGCAUCCAGAUGGAUGACCGCUUGGGAAUACCAGAUGCUGUAAG